This 186-nucleotide microRNA precursor is filed under the name Fragaria vesca subsp. vesca. RNAcentral's name for it is "Fragaria vesca miR159b stem-loop (fve-MIR159b)". Its record names the gene fve-MIR159b. It matches the Rfam family "MIR159 microRNA precursor family". Lineage: Eukaryota; Viridiplantae; Streptophyta; Magnoliopsida; Rosales; Rosaceae. The record is from miRBase by way of RNAcentral.
AGAGAUGAGAGCUUCCUUCGGUCCAAAUGCAGGAGUAGAGAUGGUGUACACUGCUCCUAAUUCAUGAAUACCUCUGGGUUGCGCAGGAUAAUGAAACACUAAUGCGCAGCUUAAGGGUUUGCAUGACCUAGGAGCAGAGAUUUCCUUCUCAUUUCCUUGAUUGGAUUGAAGGGAGCUCUCAUUAUU